Molecule: ribosomal RNA, 253 nt
Filed under: uncultured bacterium
Lineage: Bacteria
Description: partial 16S ribosomal RNA
Rfam family: Bacterial small subunit ribosomal RNA
Source: RNAcentral
UACAGAGGUGGCAAGCGUUGUUCGGAAUUACUGGGCGUAAAGGGCGCGUAGGCGGCCUUCUAAGUCAGACGUGAAAUCCCCCGGCUUAACCUGGGAACUGCGUCUGAUACUGGAAGGCUUGAGUUUGGGAGAGGGAUGCAGAAUUCCAGGUGUAGCGGUGAAAUGCGUAGAUAUCUGGAGGAAUACCGGUGGCGAAGGCGGCAUCCUGGACCAACACUGACGCUGAGGCGCGAAAGCUAGGGGAGCAAACGGG